This is a long non-coding RNA of Mangifera indica (mango), 1280 nucleotides long. RefSeq lists it as uncharacterized. The transcript has 6 exons. Lineage: Eukaryota; Viridiplantae; Streptophyta; Magnoliopsida; Sapindales; Anacardiaceae. The record is from RefSeq and is a predicted model, not a curated record.
GGUGUGGUUUUCUACUUUAGUUGGAGAGGGGUGCAUUUUAGAAAAACUGGGGAAAGGCAUAAGGUCUAUCUUUUUUUUUCUCUCUCUACUCUCUUCUGUCGCGUCUCGUUAGGUCAAAUCUCCCUCUCGCCCUUUCUCCCUAGCUUCCUUUAAUCUAGGCCUGAACGUUAAAUUAUAUUUGAAUUCGACUUCUAUGUUUGGAUUGAUUUGAUGAAUGUGUGUGAAUAGGGAGCAAAAUCUAAAAUGACGAUUCGUGAUUCUUCGGUUUUUGAUGAUGGACAACGCGGGGAGUUGCUUGAGUUCAUGCAUCCUUAAUUCUUCGGUUUGAGACUUGCAGCAUGGGUAAACCGAGUGCCAGACACGUAAACCAGUCUUUUAUUUUAUACUUUAACACCAUUGCAUUUUCUCUUGCCGGAAGUGUGUUGCAUUAGUUUAUGAGUGGAAAGGAGAGGUAUAGAUUCUAGAAUCCCCACGAGAGGAAAAUUUUGAAAAGAGAAUUGUGGAUAUGAACUUAUUAUCCAGACAGACUCUGAGGAACUGCAUAUAAUCAGAAUCCACCAAUCCCUUUUGGAAGCUUUCAAUGAACAUGUUAAAGCAAAUCAUGAAUAUGAUGUACCAGAAGUAAUUGCCUUGCCCAUCACUGGUGGCAGUCAACAGUAUUUGGAAUGGGUCAAAAUUGACUUUCUUGGAUGUUGCAAGGUCUAGUACAUGAAAAUCUACAGAAUUGUGAAGUGUAGAAUGGUGAAAGUUGAAUUGUAACGGUUUCUAAUGGUUCAUCAAGCCAAGACUUGGUUUUGUGCAACCUUUGGGCAGUGGACAUGGUUGUAGGUGAAUAAUUCCGUUUCAUUGUACUAGUUGUGUGGUGAUAAGCCUGCAGAAGGGGUAUUUGUUGUCGCCUUGCUGUCUAUGUCUUCAACUGCAGUGGUACUAUUUUGCCACAGUAAUGUGAUUUUGUUAAUAUAAUUUAUAUCCUGGUAGUAAUCAGAUGGUAAAACUUUUGUUUGUCAUUGUUGCUCUUUAUUGUUGAUCUUUCCAUGAAGCUUCAUAUCUCUGUAUUUUUUUUUUUUCAUUUUAUGGCUAGUUGUAGAUCACAUUUGUUGCAUGACAUGAUUUCAUAUUCCAGGUUAUUGUACUGGUAAUAGAUCUCCGAAGAUAAAGAAUUCAUCUAGGAAAUGCUUGUUCAACUAGUAGCUGAGAUUGAAUCCUGUAGAAACUGUAUACUUACAGUUAUUAAAGAAACUAAAAUACAAAUUAAUGCAAUGCGCUGGUGUAUUAUAAUA